UAGGGAAUCUUCCGCAAUGGACGCAAGUCUGACGGAGCAACGCCGCGUGAGUGUAGAAGGAUUUCGGAUCGUAAAGCUCUGUUGUUAAGGAAGAACGAGUGUGAGAAUGGAAAGUUCAUGCUGUGACGGUACUUAACCAGAAAGGGACGGCUAACUACGUGCCAGCAGCCGCGGUAAUACGUAGGUCCCGAGCGUUGUCCGGAUUUAUUGGGCGUAAAGCGAGCGCAGGCGGUUAGAAAAGUCUGAAGUGAAAGGCAGUGGCUCAACCAUUGUAGGCUUUGGAAACUGUUUAACUUGAGUGCAGAAGGGGAGAGUGGAAUUCCAUGUGUAGCGGUGAAAUGCGUAGAUAUAUGGAGGAACACCGGUGGCGAAAGCGGCUCUCUGGUCUGUAACUGACGCUGAGGCUCGAAAGCGUGGGGAGCGAACAGG
RNAcentral lists this ribosomal RNA (429 nucleotides) under Bacteroidota bacterium. RNAcentral describes it as "Bacteroidetes bacterium partial 16S ribosomal RNA". It matches the Rfam family "Bacterial small subunit ribosomal RNA", at positions 355 to 776 of the family's 1533-position model. The record is from RNAcentral. Lineage: Bacteria; Pseudomonadati; Bacteroidota.